This 29-nucleotide non-coding RNA is filed under the name Mus musculus (house mouse). The record is from RNAcentral. Lineage: Eukaryota; Metazoa; Chordata; Mammalia; Rodentia; Muridae.
UAUCAUUUCUCCUACUUUUUGAUAUCUUC